This 480-nucleotide ribosomal RNA is filed under the name uncultured bacterium. RNAcentral's name for it is "partial 16S ribosomal RNA". It matches the Rfam family "Bacterial small subunit ribosomal RNA", at positions 28 to 506 of the family's 1533-position model. The record is from RNAcentral.
GAUGAACGCUGGCGGCGUGCUUAACACAUGCAAGUCGAACGAAGCACUUUAUUUGAUUUCCUUCGGGACUGAUUAUUUUGUGACUGAGUGGCGGACGGGUGAGUAACGCGUGGGUAACCUGCCUUGUACAGGGGGAUAACAGUUGGAAACGGCUGCUAAUACCGCAUAAGCGCACGGCAUCGCAUGAUGCAGUGUGAAAAACUCCGGUGGUAUAAGAUGGACCCGCGUUGGAUUAGCUAGUUGGUGAGGUAACGGCCCACCAAGCCGACGAUCCAUAGCCGACCUGAGAGGGUGACCGGCCACAUUGGGACUGAGACACGGCCCAAACUCCUACGGGAGGCAGCAGUGGGGAAUAUUGCACAAUGGGCGAAAGCCUGAUGCAGCGACGCCGCGUGAGCGAAGAAGUAUUUCGGUAUGUAAAGCUCUAUCAGCAGGGAAGAUAAUGACGGUACCUGACUAAGAAGCACCGGCUAAAUACGU